Long non-coding RNA from Oreochromis aureus, 559 nucleotides. RefSeq lists it as uncharacterized. The transcript is spliced from 4 exons. The record is from RefSeq and is a predicted model, not a curated record. NCBI's taxonomy places the organism in Eukaryota, Metazoa, Chordata, Actinopteri, Cichliformes, Cichlidae.
ACGCCCACCUGAUGCGGAAGAGUCCGUUGAGACAUUAACGAGCGCACGUGGAGUUACUCCUUUGGUAUACUGGACAGUAAGAAAUACAUCACAAAAUAAAGCCACAUUCCCAUGCUCUGAGAUUCUUACACCUCCUCAACAAUACAUAAUUGACAAGGAAUUCCUGUGCAUAUUGACAGUACCGCUGCUAUCUACAUUCUUUUCUGAGCUAGAUGAUGGAGAUCUUUAGAGGCAAAGGUGGAGGGCUGGAAGAAAAAUGAGACACAUCAUGGGGACCAUCUCCAAGGAUGACACAAUACAUACAAGACGAGCAUCCGUCCUGAAGUCCCUGUGUGACUAUGAGACUGCGACAAACUUGUGAAGGGAUAUACGGUGAGUUACAUUCACAAGGUGUUCUGUGUUAUGUAAUUUAAUGCAGGGGUAAUUUUGAUAUAUGAAACAGCAAAAUGUGACACCCUGUACAACUAAAUCAUAUUGUAAUCUUUCCUUGUUUUGUUUAAUGUCAAAUUUCUGAGGUGUGAAACCAGAGACAUAGAAUUUAGAAUUCGGUAAAUAUAUC